Molecule: long non-coding RNA, 582 nt
Organism: Siniperca chuatsi (mandarin fish)
Lineage: Eukaryota; Metazoa; Chordata; Actinopteri; Centrarchiformes; Sinipercidae
Exons: 3
Source: RefSeq, a predicted model, not a curated record
UUGGCGUCUGCCAUUUUGUUUCCUGUUUGGAGUAUUAUCUGCCUGCCUGCCUGCCUGCCUGCCUGCCUGCCUGUUACCGGUGACUAUCUUGCUGCCUGUCUCCCUACCAGCCUGCCUGCCAACCUGUGUACCUGCCAUGUGCGGUGACCUCGUCAGGCUGCCUCUCCUCGGGUCUGGAUAAAUCCAACAUGGUCGCAGGACUCGCAGCCGGGCAAGAGGUGGCGUGACGGCGUGGGCGUGUCGGAUACCGGUCACAGUGGAGUAAAGGCUUUGAGCUGCAGCGCUCUGACCCAGACUGACACAGCAAUGUGAUCUGAGGUGACAGACUGAGAAUUCCUCACAUUGUUAUGUUCAUCUGAGGCCAAACAGGAGGAAGCACCUCUCCGGCCUCCGGACAGAGAAGGACUCGACACUUUCACUCCACCGUCUUCACCAUUAAGCAUUAAUCAGCGUAUAGACAGCCGGCUCUGGCCCUGCACCAGCACUUUAGGGCGUUUUCUAUCAGUGCCAUUCCAGGCAGAUGGUGGAGUAAGUGUGAUUGGCAGGAGAAGUGGAAGAAGCAGCGACGGAGCGGAUACUGUU